RNAcentral lists this ribosomal RNA (391 nucleotides) under uncultured bacterium. RNAcentral's name for it is "bacterial SSU rRNA". It matches the Rfam family "Bacterial small subunit ribosomal RNA", at positions 30 to 420 of the family's 1533-position model. The record is from RNAcentral.
AUUGAACGCUGGCGGCAUGCCUUACACAUGCAAGUCGAACGGCAGCACGGGGGCAACCCUGGUGGCGAGUGGCGAACGGGUGAGUAACAUAUCGGAACAUACCCUAGAGUGGGGGAUAACGUAGCGAAAGUUACGCUAAUACCGCAUACGCACUAAGGUGGAAAGUGGGGGAUCUUCGGACCUCAUGCUCAUGGAGUGGCCGAUAUCUGAUUAGCUAGUUGGUGAGGUAAAGGCUCACCAAGGCGACGAUCAGUAGCUGGUUUGAGAGAACGACCAGCCACACUGGAACUGAGACACGGUCCAGACUCCUACGGGAGGCAGCAGUGGGGAAUUUUGGACAAUGGGGGGCAACCCUGAUCCAGCAAUGCCGCGUGAGUGAAGAAGGCCUCGG